This 688-nucleotide ribosomal RNA is filed under the name Staphylococcus sp. RNAcentral's name for it is "bacterial SSU rRNA". It matches the Rfam family "Bacterial small subunit ribosomal RNA", at positions 49 to 715 of the family's 1533-position model. The record is from RNAcentral. Lineage: Bacteria; Bacillati; Bacillota; Bacilli; Caryophanales; Staphylococcaceae.
UAAUACUGCAAGUCGAGCGAAAGACGAGGAGCUUGCUCCUCUGACGUUAGCGGCGGACGGGUGAGUAACACGUGGAUAACCUACCUAUAAGACUGGGAUAACUUCGGGAAACCGGAGCUAAUACCGGAUAACAUGUUAAACCGCAUGGUUCAACAGUGAAAGACGGUCUUGCUGUCACUUAUAGAUGGAUCCGCGCCGCAUUAGCUAGUUGGUAAGGUAACGGCUUACCAAGGCAACGAUGCGUAGCCGACCUGAGAGGGUGAUCGGCCACACUGGAACUGAGACACGGUCCAGACUCCUACGGGAGGCAGCAGUAGGGAAUCUUCCGCAAUGGGCGAAAGCCUGACGGAGCAACGCCGCGUGAGUGAAGAAGGUCUUCGGAUCGUAAAACUCUGUUAUUAGGGAAGAACAAAUGUGUAAGUAACUAUGCACGUCUUGACGGUACCUAAUCAGAAAGCCACGGCUAACUACGUGCCAGCAGCCGCGGUAAUACGUAGGUGGCAAGCGUUAUCCGGAAUUAUUGGGCGUAAAGCGCGCGUAGGCGGUUUUUUAAGUCUGAUGUGAAAGCCCACGGCUCAACCCGUGGAGGGUCAUUGGAAACUGGAAAAUUUGAGUGCAUAAGAUGAAAUGUUCAAUNUCCUUUUGUAUCAGGUGAAAUGCGCAUAAAUAUAUAAAUUAACACUUAUUU